Molecule: long non-coding RNA, 1462 nt
Filed under: Equus asinus (donkey)
Lineage: Eukaryota; Metazoa; Chordata; Mammalia; Perissodactyla; Equidae
Description: lncRNA (ENSEASG00005035446.1)
Source: RNAcentral
AAGAGAAAGCAUCUCUCCCGACACGUGCAGUCCAGUCCGGCAGAGGCAGCCUGGAAAUGGAGUCCACACCACAGCGAGGGCUUGCAAGGGACCCAAGAGUCACUCCCUGCCCUCCCUUGUGGCGUCUCCCUCUAGCCCAUCUGCCACAGCUCAUGGGACCUUCCCAGACACAGACACAGCCUGCAGAGGAGGCCGGGGAGUGAGAGCCAAUAGGCAGCAGGCAGGCCUGCAGCACACUCCCCAUUUCUGCUGUCCACUGUGCAGGUAGCAGAGAGGGGUCCCCUCCAUCUACAGAGCCCCCCCAAGGCUUCAGAGCUGGGGGGACCUCCGAGGUUGGUAGCCUGUCUGUGCAGCCGACCACGAGACAACGGCCCUGCUGCGGGAGCACUCAGGAUGCAGAGCUUCCGCUGAGUGCGGUGGAGCUCUCGGUGGGUGAGGCCCUGGGCCCAGGCAUUGUGUCCGCACUGCAGGAGUAGCCCCACGCUGGCAGCUGGCACCCCGGGCACUCGGCGCAGGGCCUGGGCAAGCUGCGCUCUGAUCUGCAGUCUCUCGGUGCUCUGGGCUCCUUUGGGGAGGACAUUAUCUUCGAUGUUAUUGUGUAAUAAUAGGACCAUGUUCCUGUGUCCUGCGGCUUUCUGGCUGAGCACACCAUGCUCCAUGAGGAAAUACGGUUACAGGAAUUAUGCUCUUAUUUAUUUUCCCUCCAGAAUAUCAGAGUUGACAGCACAGAGACACAGGUCUGUGGUCAUUUCAAGCUCAUUUAUCUCUCCCUGCCCCACCCUCCUCUCCUCAGCAGCCACCCUGUCACCUGCCACAGGGCCUCAGGCCCUAUCCCCUGUCUACCCAUCUCCUUAGAGUGCUCAGGCCAUACAGGCUGCUUAAGCGCUUUGUUCAAAUGUACCCAUUUAAUUCUGACGAUAGCCCUAUGGGGUAAGUAUUAUUAUUGUUCUCAUUUCACACUUGAGGAAACUCAGGCCUAGAGAGGUUAUGUGACUUGCCCAGGGUCACACAGCUAGUGAGUGGCAGAGCAUAGAUUCAAACCCAGGCUGUCGGGCUCCAUAAUUUGUGCUUUUAAUUCUGUGCUAUUCAGCCUCCAGUUCUGAUGCUUUUUUCUGUGCGGAUCUACAUAGAGAACAAACUGUGGGCACCAGCACUCGGCAUCCAGGUUUUAAAAGCAGAAUCAAAGUGUAAAACAGAGAGAAAUUUCUCUGAUGCGGCAUUUACAUAAGAAACACAUUCAGAAAAAGAGACUGUGAUUCUGAAAGUGUCCUGAUUAUACUGCACGGAAAAUCUCCCUGGGAUUGGAGGAGGUUUAAAUUCGUUGGGAGAGGAGGAAAUAAAAUCCCCUUUUCAAUUUGGAAAUCUCUCCCACACUGAAAAUUCACCGGAGGAAAUGGUCACACUGCGUUCGGGAGCAGACCACGUCCUGUCUGUUGGAGGGCUCCACCUUCUCAAGCCUUCA